UAAUAGUACAAAAGGAAUGGUGCAGUAUCCUAGUCAGUCCUCCUAUCUUGAAGGCGGGCCUAAAAAUCUGCCAAAGGGCAUAUCGAUGAAGUUCCUUGUGUUGGCUUGAGGCGCCCAGCCUUGGGUCAGUGCUGGGAGUUAAGGUUUAUGGGCGAUCCACAAAGGCAUGUGGGCGUUGACCCAUUAACCGCGGAGGCCCAUCUCUGUAGUUGACGCUAAGCGUAGCAGAAAUUAUGGAAUGGGGUAUGAACCUGUCCAAAAAGACAAGGAUGGUCUUUCAAUAGACAGCGUAGCCUGCCUUGAGGUGGUAUCCGAGGGGAUUAGAGUAAAAAAGGUCGAUUAGAUGGCCACUAAUGACCUUUAGCCAUCUCUAUGAAAUCGGUACUGCAAAAGAGGCUAGGGAUAGGUUAAAGACUGUUAGAGGAAAUCUCCUAGGCUGUUCUGAAUAAGACAUUUAAAAGGGAUUAUAGUGCGGACUAAGUGGUAAUCCAGUCUAACUAUUGGCGACAAGUUAAGGUAGAUUUAAAAGGGAACUGCCUAAGAUGGCAACAUCAGGUAUCUACUUGGGAAAACCUACUGGACCUAAGCCGCAGUCUUAACUUUUUAAAUGGCCAUUCCCCGUACUUAAUCA
This 631-nucleotide small RNA is filed under the name Pseudogracilibacillus auburnensis. Lineage: Bacteria; Bacillati; Bacillota; Bacilli; Caryophanales; Bacillaceae. The record is from RNAcentral.